CAGUAGGGAAUCUUCCACAAUGGGCGAAAGCCUGAUGGAGCAACGCCGCGUGAGUGAGGAAGGCCUUCGGGUCGUAAAGCUCUGUUGCCAGGGAAGAAUAAGGGUGAGGUCACUACUCACUCGAUGACGGUACCUGAGAAGAAAGCCCCGGCUAACUACGUGCCAGCAGCCGCGGUAA
This 178-nucleotide ribosomal RNA is filed under the name uncultured bacterium. RNAcentral's name for it is "partial 16S ribosomal RNA". It matches the Rfam family "Bacterial small subunit ribosomal RNA", at positions 352 to 523 of the family's 1533-position model. The record is from RNAcentral.